This 252-nucleotide ribosomal RNA is filed under the name uncultured bacterium. RNAcentral's name for it is "partial 16S ribosomal RNA". It matches the Rfam family "Bacterial small subunit ribosomal RNA", at positions 524 to 776 of the family's 1533-position model. The record is from RNAcentral.
UACGUAGGUCCCGAGCGUUAUCCGGAUUUAUUGGGCGUAAAGCGAGCGCAGGUGGUUUAUUAAGUCUGGUGUAAAAGGCAGUGGCUCAACCAUUGUAUGCAUUGGAAACUGGUAGACUUGAGUGCAGGAGAGGAGAGUGGAAUUCCAUGUGUAGCGGUGAAAUGCGUAGAUAUAUGGAGGAACACCGGUGGCGAAAGCGGCUCUCUGGCCUGUAACUGACACUGAGGCUCGAAAGCGUGAGGAGCAAACAGG